Molecule: ribosomal RNA, 117 nt
Filed under: Chinchilla lanigera (long-tailed chinchilla)
Lineage: Eukaryota; Metazoa; Chordata; Mammalia; Rodentia; Chinchillidae
Source: RNAcentral
GUGUAUGGCCAUACCACCCUGUACGUACUCGAUCUUGUCUGAUCUCCAAAGCUAAGCAGGACCAGACCUAGUUAGUACUUGGAUGGGAGAUACUAAGAGAUAUUUGACCUAUAUUAU